RNAcentral lists this ribosomal RNA (254 nucleotides) under uncultured bacterium. RNAcentral describes it as "partial 16S ribosomal RNA". It matches the Rfam family "Bacterial small subunit ribosomal RNA", at positions 524 to 776 of the family's 1533-position model. The record is from RNAcentral.
UACGUAGGGGGCGAGCGUUGUCCGGAUUUAUUGGGCGUAAAGAGCUCGUAGGUGGUUUGGUAAGUCGGAUGUGAAAUCUCCAGGCUCAACCUGGAGGGGUCAUUCGAUACUGCCAUGACUAGAGUUCGGUAGGGGAGUGUGGAAUUCCUGGUGGAGCGGUGAAAUGCGCAGAUAUCAGGAGGAACACCCGUAGCGAAGGCGGCACUCUGGGCCGAUACUGACACUGAGGAGCGAAAGCGUGGGGAGCGAACAGG